GAGUUUGAUUAUGGCUCAGAACGAACGCUGGCGGCGCGUCUUAAGCAUGCAAGUCGAACGGUAAGGGAGAGCUUGCUCUCCCCUAGAGUGGCGGACUGGUGAGUAACGCGUGGGUGACCUGCCCUGAAGAUGGGGAUAGCUAGUAGAAAUAUUAGAUAAUACCGAAUGUGCUCAUUUACAUAAAGGUAAAUGAGGAAAGGAGCUACGGCUCCGCUUCAGGAUGGGCCCGCGUCCCAUUAGCUGGUUGGUGAGGUAAAGGCCCACCAAGGCAACGAUGGGUAUCCGGCCUGAGAGGGUGAACGGACACAUUGGGACUGAGAUACGGCCCAAACUCCUACGGGAGGCAGCAGCUAAGAAUCUUCCGCAAUGGACGAAAGUCUGACGGAGCGACGCCGUGUGAAUGAAGAAGGCUGAAAGGUUGUAAAAUUCUUUUGCAGAUGAAGAAUAAACACAGGAGGGAAUGCCCCUGUGAGAUGA
Molecule: ribosomal RNA, 477 nt
Filed under: Treponema denticola
Lineage: Bacteria; Pseudomonadati; Spirochaetota; Spirochaetia; Treponematales; Treponemataceae
Description: bacterial SSU rRNA
Rfam family: Bacterial small subunit ribosomal RNA
Source: RNAcentral